Molecule: signal recognition particle RNA, 299 nt
Filed under: Aotus nancymaae (Ma's night monkey)
Lineage: Eukaryota; Metazoa; Chordata; Mammalia; Primates; Aotidae
Description: Metazoan signal recognition particle RNA (ENSANAG00000010867.1)
Rfam family: Metazoan signal recognition particle RNA
About the family: The signal recognition particle (SRP) is a universally conserved ribonucleoprotein. It is involved in the co-translational targeting of proteins to membranes. The eukaryotic SRP consists of a 300-nucleotide 7S RNA and six proteins: SRPs 72, 68, 54, 19, 14, and 9.
Source: RNAcentral
GCCCAGCGCGGUGGCGUGUGCCUGUAGUCCCAGCUACUCGGGAGGCUGAGGUGGGAGGAUUGCUUGAGCCCAGGAGUUCUGGGCUGUAGUAUGCUAUGCUGAUUGGGUGUCCACACGAAGUUUGGCAUCAAUAUGGUGACCUCCUGGGAUUGGGGGACCAGCAGGUUGCCUAAGGAGGGGUGAAGCGGCCCAGGUCGGAAACGGAGCAGGUCAAAACUCCCGUGCUGAUCAGUAGUGGGAUCGCGCCUGUGAGUAGCCACUGCACUUCAGCCUGGGCAACAUAGCGAGACCCCCCGUGU